This 209-nucleotide non-coding RNA is filed under the name Rhizobium sp. Lineage: Bacteria; Pseudomonadati; Pseudomonadota; Alphaproteobacteria; Hyphomicrobiales; Rhizobiaceae. The record is from RNAcentral.
GCUUACUUGAAACGAGAUGGUCCCUUUCCGGCAACGGGGAGGGCUAAGAGAGAAUGCGGUGCGAUCCUUUCCCAAGGAUCAAUGCCGCGGCUGCCCCCGCAACUGUAGGCGGCGAGCCGUUUGCCGAGAGGCCACUGGAGAAAUCCGGGAAGGCAGGCAAAUGGCGACGACCCGCGAGCCAGGAGACCUGCCGUCCGAUAAUUUUGCUU